GAAACGGGCGCUAAUACCGGAUAGGUAACGAGGGGCAUCCUUCUGUUAUUAAGGUUAAAAACACAAGCAGAUGGGCUUACGGUGCAUUAGCUGGUUGGUGAGGUAACGGCCCACCAAGGCGAUGAUGCAUAGCCGGCCUGAGAGGGUGAACGGCCACAUUGGGACUGAGACACGGCCCAGACUCCUACGGGAGGCAGCAGUAGGGAAUUUUCGGCAAUGGACGCAAGUCUGACCGAGCAACGCCGCGUGAGUGAAGAAGGUUUUCGGAUUGUAAAGCUCUGUUGUAAGGGAAGAACAGCACGGAGAGAAUCCGUGAAUGACGGUACCUUACCAGAAAGCCACGGCUAACUACGUGCC
Molecule: ribosomal RNA, 357 nt
Filed under: uncultured bacterium
Lineage: Bacteria
Description: bacterial SSU rRNA
Rfam family: Bacterial small subunit ribosomal RNA
Source: RNAcentral